RNAcentral lists this RNase P RNA (344 nucleotides) under Anaerolinea sp. Its description in RNAcentral is "RNase P RNA component class A". It matches the Rfam family "Bacterial RNase P class A". Rfam says of the family: Ribonuclease P (RNase P) is a ubiquitous endoribonuclease, found in archaea, bacteria and eukarya as well as chloroplasts and mitochondria. Its best characterised activity is the generation of mature 5'-ends of tRNAs by cleaving the 5'-leader elements of precursor-tRNAs. Cellular RNase Ps are ribonucleoproteins. The record is from RNAcentral. Lineage: Bacteria; Bacillati; Chloroflexota; Anaerolineae; Anaerolineales; Anaerolineaceae.
CGAGGCGACCGGAUGGUCGCGCGCCGGCGGGGCAACCCGCCGGCGUGAGGAAAGUCCGAGCUCCACAGCGCAGGGUAGCGGGCAACUCCCGUCCGCCGCGAGGCGAGGACCAGCGCCACAGUGACGAUGCCGUCAGCUUCGGCCGACGGAGUGAAACGCGGCAAGCUCUACCCGGAGCAAGGCCAAGUAGGAGGGCGUAACCCGGUUCGCCGGGGGAGAGGCGCGCUGCCCAGCUCUCGGGUCGGCCGCACGAGCCGGCGGGUGACCGUCGGCCUCAGAUGGAUGGCCAUCCCCGCGACGUCGAUGUCGCGGGACAGAACUCGGCUUACAGGUUGCCUCGCUGA